RNAcentral lists this non-coding RNA (30 nucleotides) under Rattus norvegicus (Norway rat). The record is from RNAcentral. Lineage: Eukaryota; Metazoa; Chordata; Mammalia; Rodentia; Muridae.
UGUGGAGAUCUAUAACCAGUUGCCUUAACC